CGCCCUAAUAGUAUAAAUUUGCAACGAGUACUUUUUCUCAUUUUAUCGAACAAAGAGUAAAAGCUAAUUAUAUUGUCCUAUUAUGCCCCGAGAGUGUAAAUUUGGAAAGAAUUGAUGUCAACGUUCACAAGAACCAAAAUCGGAACAACAUUAGACUACACAGUUGCGCCCUAACAGUAUAACUUUGCAACGAGUAUUUUUUCUCAAUUAAUUGAACAAAGAGUAAAAGCUAAUUAUAUUGUUCGAUUAAGCCCCGAGAGUGUAAAUUUGGAACGAAUCGAUGUCAACGUUCACAAGAACCAAAGCCGGAACAACAUUAGACUACUCAGUUGCGCCCUAACAGUAUAACUUUGCAAUGAGUACUUUUUCUCAUUUAAUCGAACAAAGAGUAAAACCUAAUUAAAUUGUUCGAUUAAGCCCCGAGAGUGUAAAGUUGGAACGAAUAGAUGUCAACGUUCACACAAACCAAAAUCGGAACAACAUUAGACUACUCACUUACACCCUAACAGUAUAAAUUUGCAACCAGUACUUUUUCUCAUUCUAUCGAACAAAGAGAAAAAGCUAAUUAUAUUGUUCUAUUAUGCCCCGAGAGUGUAAAUUUGGAACGAAUUGAUGUAAAUGUUCACAAGAAUCAAAACCGGAACCACAUUAGACUACUCACUUGCGCCCUAACAGUAUAACAUCGCAACAACUACUUUUUCUCAUUCAAUCGAAAAAAUAGUAAAACCUAAUUAUAUUGUUCUAUUAAGCCCCGAGAGUGUAAAGUUGGAACGAAUCGAUGUCAACGUUCACAAAAACCAAAACCGAAACAACAUUAGACUACUCAGUUGCGCCGAAACAGUAUAACUUUGCAACGAGUACUUUUUCUCAUUCAAUAGAACAAAGAGUAAAACCUAAUUAUAUUUUUCUAUUAAGCUCCGAGAGUAUAAAUUUGGAACGAAUCGAUGUCAACGUUCACAAGAACCAAAACCGGAACAACUUUAGAUUACACUGUUCCGCCCAACCAGUAUAACUUUACAACGAGUACUUUUUUUCAUUCAAUCAAACAAAGUGUAAAACCAAAUUAUAUUGUUCUAUUAUGCCCCGAGAUAGUAAAAUUGGAACGAAUCGAUGUCAACGUUGACAAGAACCAAAAUCGGAACAACAGAAGACUACUUACUUGCGCCCUAACAGUAUAAAUUUGCAACGAGUACUUUUUCUCAUUCUAUCGAACAAAGAGUAAAAGCUUAUUAUAUUGUUCUAUUAUGCCCCGAGAGUGUAAAUUUGGAACGAAUCGAUGUCAAAGUUCAC
This 1290-nucleotide long non-coding RNA is filed under the name Ananas comosus (pineapple). RNAcentral's name for it is "long non-coding RNA (ACOM_LNC003524)". Lineage: Eukaryota; Viridiplantae; Streptophyta; Magnoliopsida; Poales; Bromeliaceae. The record is from RNAcentral.